AGUGAACGCUGGCGGUAGGCCUAACACAUGCAAGUCGAACGGCAGCACAGUAAGAGCUUGCUCUUACGGGUGGCGAGUGGCGGACGGGUGAGGAAUACAUCGGAAUCUACUUUUUCGUGGGGGAUAACGUAGGGAAACUUACGCUAAUACCGCAUACGACCUACGGGUGAAAGUAGGGGAUCUUCGGACCUUGCGCGAUUGAAUGAGCCGAUGUCGGAUUAGCUAGUUGGCGGGGUAAAGGCCCACCAAGGCGACGAUCCGUAGCUGGUCUGAGAGGAUGAUCAGACACACUGGAACUGAGACACGGUCCAGACUCCUACGGGAGGCAGCAGUGGGGAAUAUUGGACAAUGGGCGCAAGCCUGAUCCAGCCAUACCGCGUGGGUGAAGAAGGCCUUCGGGUUGUAAAGCCCUUUUGUUGGGAAAGAAAAGCAGCAGGUUAAUACCCCGCUGUUCUGACGGUACCCAAAGAAUAAGCACCGGCUAACUUCGUG
Molecule: ribosomal RNA, 492 nt
Filed under: uncultured bacterium
Lineage: Bacteria
Description: partial 16S ribosomal RNA
Rfam family: Bacterial small subunit ribosomal RNA
Source: RNAcentral